Molecule: ribosomal RNA, 421 nt
Filed under: Curvularia americana
Lineage: Eukaryota; Fungi; Ascomycota; Dothideomycetes; Pleosporales; Pleosporaceae
Description: partial large subunit ribosomal RNA
Rfam family: Eukaryotic large subunit ribosomal RNA
Source: RNAcentral
UUGACCUCGGAUCAGGUAGGGAUACCCGCUGAACUUAAGCAUAUCAAUAAGCGGAGGAAAAGAAACCAACAGGGAUUGCCCUAGUAACGGCGAGUGAAGCGGCAACAGCUCAAAUUUGAAAUCUGGCUCUUUCAGAGUCCGAGUUGUAAUUUGCAGAGGGCGCUUUGGCUUUGGCAGCGGUCCAAGUUCCUUGGAACAGGACGUCACAGAGGGUGAGAAUCCCGUACGUGGUCGCUAGCUAUUGCCGUGUAAAGCCCCUUCGACGAGUCGAGUUGUUUGGGAAUGCAGCUCUAAAUGGGAGGUAAAUUUCUUCUAAAGCUAAAUAUUGGCCAGAGACCGAUAGCGCACAAGUAGAGUGAUCGAAAGAUGAAAAGCACUUUGGAAAGAGAGUCAAACAGCACGUGAAAUUGUUGAAAGGGAA